CGGGCAGUAGCUCAGUGGUAGAGCACCCGCUUCGAAUGCAGGAAGACCUGGGUUCGAUUCCCGGCUGCUUAC
RNAcentral lists this transfer RNA (72 nucleotides) under Toxocara canis (dog roundworm). It matches the Rfam family "tRNA". From Rfam's summary of the family: Transfer RNA (tRNA) molecules are approximately 80 nucleotides in length. Lineage: Eukaryota; Metazoa; Nematoda; Chromadorea; Rhabditida; Toxocaridae. The record is from Rfam by way of RNAcentral.